AGACUGCCGGUGGUUAAGCCGGAGGAAGGUGGGGAGUGACGUCAAGUCCUCAUGGCCUUUAUGCCCAGGGCUACACACGUGCUACAAUGGGUGGUACAAAGAGAUGCCAACUCGCGAGAGCGCGCCAAUCUCAGAAAGCCAUCCUCAGUUCGGAUUGGAGUCUGCAACUCGACUCCAUGAAGUUGGAAUCGCUAGUAAUCGCGGAUCAGCACGCCGCGGUGAAUACGUUCCCGGGCCUU
This 239-nucleotide ribosomal RNA is filed under the name uncultured Smithella sp. RNAcentral's name for it is "partial 16S ribosomal RNA". It matches the Rfam family "Bacterial small subunit ribosomal RNA", at positions 1146 to 1382 of the family's 1533-position model. Lineage: Bacteria; Pseudomonadati; Thermodesulfobacteriota; Syntrophia; Syntrophales; Smithellaceae. The record is from RNAcentral.